ACGUAGGAAUCUAUCCUGGGGUGGGAGUAACAGUGGGAACGUAACUGCUAAUACCGCAUGAUACCUGAGGGUCGAAAGGACGUUAGUCGCCUUGGGAGGAGCCUGCGUCUGAUUAGCUAGUUGGUGGGGUAAAGGCCUACCAAGGCGACGAUCAGUAGCUGGUCUGAGAGGAUGAUCAGCCACAUUUGGGACUGAGACACGGCCCAAACUCCUACGGGAGGCAGCAGUGGGGAAUAUUGGACAAUGGGCGCAAGCCUGAUCCAGCAAUGCCGCGUGUGUGAAGAAGGUCUUCGGAUUGUA
RNAcentral lists this ribosomal RNA (300 nucleotides) under uncultured Acidocella sp. RNAcentral describes it as "bacterial SSU rRNA". It matches the Rfam family "Bacterial small subunit ribosomal RNA", at positions 115 to 427 of the family's 1533-position model. The record is from RNAcentral. Lineage: Bacteria; Pseudomonadati; Pseudomonadota; Alphaproteobacteria; Acetobacterales; Acidocellaceae.